UUUCUUCGUAUCAUCUUCCCCUGCGGAACCUCUUUCCCACACAACGCCUUCUUACGGUUUAUCUCAACCAGGAGUCUGAAUGGCUGCCGAUGAUGCUGGAAAAAGCUAAGUCAAAAUACGUUAUGAGCAGUUGUUGAUCUAAUUUUGUACAAGUUCAUGAAGCAGUUGAUCAUCAUCUCCUAUAUCAUUUGUGCACGCCUGACUGUUCUUCAAGCUUAUUCUAAUGCAUCAUGCACGGCAUAUAUGUCUUCUUCUUUAAAUUUAUCUGGUUCUGAAUUAAAUGUGUAAAACUUCUAAAUCUGAUUUAAAAUUUGCUGAUACGUGUGUAAAAAUGCCCAAUGAUGGAAAACAUAUGAUAAUUGAGAGGUUUUCUGGUGUUGCUUUUUGUCUUUUCUCGUUCAUUGCCACGAACCAUAAAUAUUUUUUCAUCACAUGCACACACUAUAACACCAAAUGAAUUUUCUUUUGUGGCAAUGUUUAACGGCUCUCGACAAAUUGCUGCUAUCGGAUGUAAAUCCUUCUAUGAUUUAAUAAGCUAUGAGAUCUGAGGGCUAGUUUUGCUGUUACUUAUUUCAUAUUUUCUUAGUGAUGUGUAGUAUUUGUUUUGCUUAUUUCAUAUUAUUAUUUUUUUCUAAUUCAAACUAAGUUCGAAAUGCUUUGGAGUUUGAAUUUGUGAACAGGGAUUCAAGUUUUGAAUACAAAAGUUCAUAGAAACCAAUAAAAUGAAAGCACAUUCGAAGGUUUGGCAAGCUCUAUAUGAUCGAUGCUUGUUGAGCUCAAAAAUGGUGCAAGAUUCUACGUUGUCAAUUUUGUUAAAUGUUCACUGGCCCACUGUGCUGGAUGAUUUCUAAAGUUGACGAAAAUUCCAUCAAAAUCAACUCUCUUUAUUAUUGAAAUUCCGUCAAAACCACAUUAUUGGUUUGAGCUUGGACUCCAAAGUUUAAAAGUUGCCGAAGGUUGCAGGUUCAAAUACAAGGAUGAAUAAGAAUCUCCCUCCAUGUGUCCACAGAGGUUUAAAUGCGCCGACUGACUCUGGGUUACUUUGGAUCACUUGUAUAGCAGGUUGGAUAUAAAAGUUUUUUCAUAAUUACCAGUUAUGUUCAGUGUUUACAAAAACCAGAUGAAGACGCAAGGUGCUUAAAGCUAUCUCGUGGGUUAUUGAUAUCUCUAAAUUACAUGAAUUCCAACCAUCAAGUGAUUCAUCUGUAAUUGCUAAGAUUUUGUGUUGUUUAAUUGAAUAAAGGAUUCUAAGCAGUAUUUUAAUUGGAUUUUUUGCAGAUUAUU
This is a long non-coding RNA of Cynara cardunculus var. scolymus (artichoke), 1284 nucleotides long. RefSeq lists it as uncharacterized. Lineage: Eukaryota; Viridiplantae; Streptophyta; Magnoliopsida; Asterales; Asteraceae. The record is from RefSeq and is a predicted model, not a curated record. The transcript is spliced from 2 exons.